RNAcentral lists this transfer RNA (72 nucleotides) under Phaeoacremonium minimum UCRPA7. RNAcentral's name for it is "tRNA-Arg (TCT) (tRNA-Arg-TCT-1-1)". It matches the Rfam family "tRNA". From Rfam's summary of the family: Transfer RNA (tRNA) molecules are approximately 80 nucleotides in length. Their secondary structure includes four short double-helical elements and three loops (D, anti-codon, and T loops). Lineage: Eukaryota; Fungi; Ascomycota; Sordariomycetes; Togniniales; Togniniaceae. The record is from RNAcentral.
GCCCGGCUGGCGCAAUGGUAGCGCGCAGGACUUCUAAUCCUGAGGUUGUGGGUUCGAGUCCCACGUCGGGUG